GACCUUUUCAUUAAUCGCCAAAGCCCUAUAUGGAGAUCCGUCGGCUUCGGCCGGCUGCCGGUUUCGGCCGGCUAUGGGGAUAAACGAAGGCGUGCAAUAGGCGCAGCGGACGCGGGGGCAGUACCCGCCGGCUCCACCACCAGCUACCUGCUCAGGCAGUUGAUGACGGGGCCGAACUAGGAUCGACGUGUGUUGAAAAGCGCCAUCUAUCUCUCAGCGUGGGCCACUGUGACGGCCUGAAACACAAGUGCCAACGAUAACGAAGCACUCGCUAUUGCGGCGUAACCCCAAGGCUUAACGGCCUAAGGUUAUUCUAAAAUGCGCGGUUGGACCGCACCGGGCAACAGAAGCGGAAUCCAGCGGUACGGGGGACACCGGGCAACAGAAGUCCCCCACU
Molecule: transfer-messenger RNA, 397 nt
Filed under: Sphingomonas sp. R-74633
Lineage: Bacteria; Pseudomonadati; Pseudomonadota; Alphaproteobacteria; Sphingomonadales; Sphingomonadaceae
Rfam family: Alphaproteobacteria transfer-messenger RNA
About the family: Bacterial tmRNA, also known as 10Sa RNA or SsrA, is named for its dual tRNA and mRNA-like properties.
Source: RNAcentral